GGCCUAAAAGCGUAGUGGGAAAGUGACGUGAAAUUCGUCCAGAUUACUUGAUACGGUUAUACUCCGAAUGCCACCUAGGCC
Molecule: non-coding RNA, 81 nt
Submitted as: unclassified sequences
Source: Rfam